This 496-nucleotide long non-coding RNA is filed under the name Rattus norvegicus (Norway rat). RNAcentral's name for it is "long non-coding RNA NONRATT010424". Lineage: Eukaryota; Metazoa; Chordata; Mammalia; Rodentia; Muridae. The record is from RNAcentral.
UCCCACACGGCACCCCGGCGCGCUAGCCCAUCCAUCCAUCAGCCCUUCCGCCCGGGUUUCUCCCCCAUCUCGCAGCCAGCUGAGAUCCUAUGCGGGCUGCAGGCCCCUCCAGGCUGACAGCUCAGAGCCCUCUCACUCACCCCGGCCUCCCUUUCCCUCCAGGAACCCCGCUCCCGGUAGAGCUCGGCGCGGUACGUCUAGGCUCUCGCUGCCCUCUGUCCGGCUGGCCCUAUCUCUCCCUUCUCCGUUUCUCCACCUCUGCCUCUCUUCCCCAUCCCCACUCGCGCGCCCUUUCUCCCCAAUACUCCUGUCCCCUUUUCCUCGGCAGUCUGUCCGUCCGAGUCCCCUCCCCCAGCCUCUUCCCGUCCCUCUCCGUCCCCUCCAGUAGCAGUCUCCCCGCGCCUCCUCUCUCCUGGAUCUCGAGAUUCGGAAGAGCAUGGAAGGGAAGGAGAGUGAGAGGCAAAGAAGAGGGGGGGAAAAAAGGAAAAAAAAAAAA